RNAcentral lists this ribosomal RNA (253 nucleotides) under uncultured bacterium. Its description in RNAcentral is "partial 16S ribosomal RNA". It matches the Rfam family "Bacterial small subunit ribosomal RNA", at positions 524 to 776 of the family's 1533-position model. The record is from RNAcentral.
UACGAAGGACCCAAGCGUUAUCCGGAUUUAUUGGGUUUAAAGGGUGCGUAGGCGGGUUGUUAAGUCAGUGGUGAAAGCUCCGAGCCUAACUCGGAAACUGCCAUUGAUACUGACGAUCUUGAGUACAUUUGAGGUGGGCGGAAUGUGUCAUGUAGCGGUGAAAUGCUUAGAUAUGACACAGAACACCGAUUGCGAAGGCAGCUCACUAAACUGUAACUGACGCUGAGGCGCGAAAGCGUGGGGAGCAAACAGG